GCUCCUGUGUGGCCAGCAGCUGGCUGCAGUUCCCCAGGAAACAGCUUCCGGCAGACACUCAAUCUCCAGUUGUAACAGGUGGUGUGGAGUCCGCUGUCCCAGGGAGUGGGCUCAAGGCCUAGUCCUGCCAAUGAACUUGCUGUAGAAACUUUUCUGUCUAUCAAAUGAGCUUCUCCAUUUCCACCUUUGCAAACUCUGGACUCCAAGGACGCAAGAUGGCCGGAAACAAGAUGGUGGAGAUGGAGUCCCCCUCUGUCACCCAGGCUAGAGUGCAGCCUGAUUCUACAACUUGGCCAUGUGAUCCUGAGCAAAUUACAUUCCCGUUUCAGUUUUCCCUCUUCAACAACAACAAAAAAGCGUUGGAUUAAGUAAUGAUUAAAACUCCUUUCUGCUGGGCGCGGUGGCUCAUGCCUAUAAUCCCAGCACUUU
RNAcentral lists this long non-coding RNA (429 nucleotides) under Homo sapiens (human). Its description in RNAcentral is "HSALNT0401570". Lineage: Eukaryota; Metazoa; Chordata; Mammalia; Primates; Hominidae. The record is from RNAcentral.